This is a long non-coding RNA of Helianthus annuus (common sunflower), 430 nucleotides long. RefSeq lists it as uncharacterized. NCBI's taxonomy places the organism in Eukaryota, Viridiplantae, Streptophyta, Magnoliopsida, Asterales, Asteraceae. The transcript has 2 exons. The record is from RefSeq and is a predicted model, not a curated record.
CAGCCCCAAGUUGCAAACAAGACCCUUAACCAGUCUACUUCAGUCGACAAAAGCGAUCAACUUGUAGAAGCUGGAUGCAGUACACGCGGGACCAUGACCGCAUAAAACAAUAGGAAAGUGAAGGUUGUGUUGACUUUUGUUGACUAUCCGAAAUGACUUUUUUGGAAAGCAUCAACAUCCAUUAUGAUCUGCAUGGCGAUUUUAGUGUUGUGUCGAGAUUCUAUCGUUUGGGUUAUUUCAAUUGCAGAUUGCCCCAUGAUAGUGUGAUUAGAUUAUUCGGUGUCAGUAUAGUUGAAAGCAUUUCUUUGUAAGGUAUUACGCGAUAACAAACAUCAGAAUCGAUGAAACAAUAAUUGUAUUUUUCAUGUUUGGCCUCCGGUUUGCUCAUUGCAGUAUGCUUAAAACAAUCGACAAGUACACUUAACAUUAA